This 24-nucleotide ribosomal RNA is filed under the name Hymenochaete sp. RNAcentral describes it as "partial 18S ribosomal RNA". The record is from RNAcentral. Lineage: Eukaryota; Fungi; Basidiomycota; Agaricomycetes; Hymenochaetales; Hymenochaetaceae.
UGCGGAAGGAUCAUUACUGAGGUU